Molecule: non-coding RNA, 125 nt
Organism: Triticum aestivum (bread wheat)
Lineage: Eukaryota; Viridiplantae; Streptophyta; Magnoliopsida; Poales; Poaceae
Source: Rfam
UAGAUACUCUCUCCGUCCAAAAAUACUUGUCGGAGAAAUGGAUGUAUCUAGACAUAUUUUAAUUCUAGAUACAUCUAAUUUUAUCCAUUUGUGCGACAAGUAUUUCCGAACGGAGGGAGUACAUC